Molecule: ribosomal RNA, 425 nt
Filed under: uncultured bacterium
Lineage: Bacteria
Description: partial 16S ribosomal RNA
Rfam family: Bacterial small subunit ribosomal RNA
Source: RNAcentral
GUGGGGAAUAUUGGACAAUGGGCGCAAGCCUGAUCCAGCAAUGCCGCGUGAGUGAUGAAGGCCUUAGGGUUGUAAAGCUCUUUUACCCGGGAAGAUAAUGACUGUACCGGGAGAAUAAGCCCCGGCUAACUCCGUGCCAGCAGCCGCGGUAAUACGGAGGGGGCUAGCGUUGUUCGGAAUUACUGGGCGUAAAGCGUACGUAGGCGGUUUUGUAAGUUAGCGGUGAAAGCCCGGAGCUCAACGCCGGAACUGCCUUUAAGACUGCAUCACUUGAACGUCGGAGAGGUGAGUGGAAUUCCGAGUGUAGAGGUGAAAUUCGUAGAUAUUCGGAAGAACACCAGUGGCGAAGGCGGCUCACUGGACGACUGUUGACGCUGAGGUACGAAAGCGUGGGGAGCAAACAGGAUUAGAAACCCCAGUAGUCC